Molecule: non-coding RNA, 70 nt
Organism: Dipodomys ordii (Ord's kangaroo rat)
Lineage: Eukaryota; Metazoa; Chordata; Mammalia; Rodentia; Heteromyidae
Source: Rfam
GGGAAUGUGGCUUAGUGGAAGAGCGCUUGCCUAGCAUGCACGAAGCCCUGGGUUCGAUUCCUCAGUACCA